Long non-coding RNA from Grammomys surdaster, 291 nucleotides. RefSeq lists it as uncharacterized. The record is from RefSeq and is a predicted model, not a curated record. The transcript is spliced from 3 exons. NCBI's taxonomy places the organism in Eukaryota, Metazoa, Chordata, Mammalia, Rodentia, Muridae.
GUGACAUUUAUCAGAAGUGUCUGCAGACAAUAUCAGUGCUAUUACAGAGAAGCCCUCCGACAAUCCAAGGAACUCAGUCAGCUAUGCUGGUGUAGCUGACAAGUGGAGGUCCCAAUCGAGAUCGGAAAGAUGAAGAAGAUUGCUGACUGGCCGUCUCCGGGGCGCACAUUAGGACAGGAGACGUAUUGGGCAUUAACCAAAGAUGCUGCACUGUGGGGAACAAGCCCUCAAGAGAAUGUGGGGACCUGUGUCCAGGGACAUUGGAGGGGAGGCCCAUGUGUGAGAGGACCA